RNAcentral lists this small RNA (30 nucleotides) under Bombyx mori (domestic silkworm). Its description in RNAcentral is "ovarian small RNA-29302". The record is from RNAcentral. Lineage: Eukaryota; Metazoa; Arthropoda; Insecta; Lepidoptera; Bombycidae.
UCGUGCAAACCAAACACACAAUCGCGACAG